This 253-nucleotide ribosomal RNA is filed under the name uncultured bacterium. Its description in RNAcentral is "partial 16S ribosomal RNA". It matches the Rfam family "Bacterial small subunit ribosomal RNA", at positions 524 to 776 of the family's 1533-position model. The record is from RNAcentral.
UACGAAGGGGGCUAGCGUUGCUCGGAAUCACUGGGCGUAAAGCGCACGUAGGCGGCUUUCUAAGUCAGGGGUGAAAUCCUGGAGCUCAACUCCAGAACUGCCUUUGAUACUGGGGAGCUCGAGUCCGGAAGAGGUGAGUGGAACUCCGAGUGUAGAGGUGAAAUUCGUAGAUAUUCGGAAGAACACCAGUGGCGAAGGCGGCUCUCUGGAACGCAACUGACGCUGAGACGCGAAAGCGUGGGGAGCAAACAGG